This 197-nucleotide ribosomal RNA is filed under the name uncultured bacterium. Its description in RNAcentral is "partial 16S ribosomal RNA". It matches the Rfam family "Bacterial small subunit ribosomal RNA", at positions 328 to 539 of the family's 1533-position model. The record is from RNAcentral.
ACGCUCGACACCUACGGAGGCAGCAGUGGGGAAUAUUGCACAAUGGGGGAAACCCUGAUGCAGCGACGCCGCGUGAGUGAAGAAGUAUUUCGGUAUGUAAAGCUCUAUCAGCAGGGAAGAAGAUGACGGUACCUGAGUAAGAAGCCCCGGCUAACUACGUGCCAGCAGCCACGGUAAUCUGAGCGGGCUGGCAAGGC